This 440-nucleotide ribosomal RNA is filed under the name uncultured bacterium. RNAcentral's name for it is "partial 16S ribosomal RNA". It matches the Rfam family "Bacterial small subunit ribosomal RNA", at positions 338 to 795 of the family's 1533-position model. The record is from RNAcentral.
CCUACGGGUGGCAGCAGUGGGGGAUAUUGCACAAUGGGGGAAACCCUGAUGCAGCGACGCCGCGUGAGUGAAGAAGUAUUUCGGUAUGUAAAGCUCUAUCAGCAGGGAAGAAAAUGACAGUACCUGACCAAGAAGCCCCGGCUAACUACGUGCCAGCAGCCGCUGUAAUACGGAGGGGGCAGGCGUUAUCCGGAUUUACUGGGUGUAAAGGGAGGGUAGGUGGUUAUGUAGGUCUGGAGUGAAAGCCCGGGGCCCAAGUCGGGGACUGCUUUGGAAACUGUGUAACUGGAGUGCAGGGGGGGCAGGCGGAAUUCCUGGGGUAGCGGUGAAAUGCGUAGAUAUCAGGAGGAACACCGGCGGCGAAGGAGGCCUGCGGGACUGCAACUGACGUUGAGGCUCGAAAGCGUGGGGAGCAAACAGGAUGAGAUACCCCAGUAGUC